UAUUCAUCAAACUUCACCAGUUGGUUAAGAGAUUAUUUCACUUCUGAAACAUUAUGGAAAUGAAUACACACCAAAGUGAUCACUUCUCUGGACAGCAGCCCUGGUUUUUGACUGAAGCAUUUCGCUACGUUUUGUUUGUGGUGUGGAUCGUUGAUAUUAUAAUGAUAUUUGUGGUCACACAUUUGAUCCACGAAACAAAUGAAAUUUACGAGAAAACCGUGGAAGCUGGAUGGCUCAUAAGAGAUCCAGAAACAGGCUCGCCGAAGACCCCGCGAAGGAAACAACAA
Scleropages formosus (Asian bonytongue) is the source of this 287-nucleotide long non-coding RNA. RefSeq lists it as uncharacterized. NCBI's taxonomy places the organism in Eukaryota, Metazoa, Chordata, Actinopteri, Osteoglossiformes, Osteoglossidae. The record is from RefSeq and is a predicted model, not a curated record. The transcript has 3 exons.